AUUGAACGCUGGCGGCAUGCUUUACACAUGCAAGUCGGACGGCAGCACAGAGAAGCUUGCUUCUUGGGUGGCGAGUGGCGAACGGGUGAGUAAUAUAUCGGAACGUACCGAGUAAUGGGGGAUAACUAAUCGAAAGAUUAGCUAAUACCGCAUAUUCUCUGAGGAGGAAAGCAGGGGACCUUCGGGCCUUGCGUUAUUCGAGCGGCCGAUAUCUGAUUAGCUAGUUGGUGGGGUAAAGGCCUACCAAGGCGACGAUCAGUAGCGGGUCUGAGAGGAUGAUCCGCCACACUGGGACUGAGACACGGCCCAGACUCCUACGGGAGGCAGCAGUGGGGAAUUUUGGACAAUGGGCGCAAGCCUGAUCCAGCCAUGCCGCGUGUCUGAAGAAGGCCUUCGGGUUGUAAAGGACUUUUGUCAGGGAAGAAAAGGCUGUUGCUAAUACCGACAGCUGAUGACGGUACCUGAAGAAUAAGCACCGGCUAACUACGUGCCAGCAGCCGCGGUAAUACGUAGGGUGCGAGCGUUAAUCGGAAUUACUGGGCGUAAAGCGAGCGCAGACGGUUACUUAAGCAGGAUGUGAAAUCCCCGGGCUCAACCUGGGAACUGCGUUCUGAACUGGGUGACUAGAGUGUGUCAGAGGGAGGUAGAAUUCCACGUGUAGCAGUGAAAUGCGUAAAGAUGUGGAGGAGUACCGAUGGCGAAGGCAGCCUCCUGGGGAGAAACUGACGUUCAGCUCGAAAACGUGGGGAGCAACAGG
Molecule: ribosomal RNA, 757 nt
Filed under: Neisseria subflava
Lineage: Bacteria; Pseudomonadati; Pseudomonadota; Betaproteobacteria; Neisseriales; Neisseriaceae
Description: bacterial SSU rRNA
Rfam family: Bacterial small subunit ribosomal RNA
Source: RNAcentral